UCUUCUUCUCCUUAGAUCUCUAAAUUUUUUUAAUUUUUUAAUUUUUUUAUUUUUUUAUUAUUUUUUUUACUAUUUUUUCUUAUUUUUGGAUCUCUUAUUUAUAGAUAAUUUUUUUACCUUUUUCUGAUAGCAAAUGGAGUCCUAAAAUCCCUCAAAAUCAUGUUAAACCCAUGUCAUUUAAUUCUAGCUGUUGGAUCAUGUUUGGACCGCCUAGAUCGCAUCAAAAAUCAUAGUUCAUCUCCUUAUUACAAUCGGGAUCAACCACAGUCAUUGGAUCACAUGAUUGAUUUGAUUUCAGUCAUUGAUCAACAUUCAGAUUCUCCUAUUCACAAUUGGAAAUGCUUCUGACCAUC
RNAcentral lists this long non-coding RNA (353 nucleotides) under Elaeis guineensis (African oil palm). Its description in RNAcentral is "long non-coding RNA (EGUI_LNC048052)". The record is from RNAcentral. Lineage: Eukaryota; Viridiplantae; Streptophyta; Magnoliopsida; Arecales; Arecaceae.